CACCUUAUGAGAAAUCAAUAUCAUUGGGUUCCGGGGGGAGUAUGGUCGCAAAGGUGAAACUUAAAGGAAUUGACGGAAGGGCACCACCAGGAGUGGAGCCUGCGGCUUAAUUUGACUCAACACGGGGAAACUUACCAGGUCCAGACAUAGUAAGGAUUGACAGACUGAGAGCUCUUUCUUGAUUCUACGGGUGGUGGUGCAUGGCCCUUCUUAGUUGGUGGAGCGAUUUGUCUUGUUAAUUCUGUUAACGAACAAGACCUCAACCUGCUAAAUAGCUAUGUGGAGGUAACCCUCCACGGCCAGCUUCUUAGAGGGACUAUGGCCACUUAGGCCACGGAAGUUUGAGGCAAUAACAGGUCUGUGAUGCCCUUAGAUGUUCUGGGCCGCACGAGCGCUAUAAUGAUCUAUUCAACGAGUCUAUAGCCUUGGCCGACAGGCCCGGGUAAUCUUUGAAAUUUCAUCGUGAUGGGGAUAGAUCACUGCAAUUGUUGGUCUUCAACGAGGAAUUCCUAGUAAGCGCGAGUCAUCAUCUCGCGUUGA
RNAcentral lists this long non-coding RNA (540 nucleotides) under Phaseolus vulgaris (common bean). Its description in RNAcentral is "long non-coding RNA (PVUL_LNC004907)". It matches the Rfam family "Eukaryotic small subunit ribosomal RNA", at positions 1084 to 1644 of the family's 1831-position model. Lineage: Eukaryota; Viridiplantae; Streptophyta; Magnoliopsida; Fabales; Fabaceae. The record is from RNAcentral.